Molecule: ribosomal RNA, 489 nt
Filed under: uncultured bacterium
Lineage: Bacteria
Description: partial 16S ribosomal RNA
Rfam family: Bacterial small subunit ribosomal RNA
Source: RNAcentral
AUUGAACGCUGGCGGCAGGCCUAACACAUGCAAGUCGAACGGUAACAGGAAGAAGCUUUCUUCUUUGCUGACGAGUGGCGGACGGGUGAGUAAUGUCUGGGAAACUGCCUUAUGGAGGGGGAUAACUACUGGAAACGGUAGCUAAUACCGCAUAACGUCGCAAGACCAAAGAGGGGGACCUUCUGGCCUCUUGCCAUCGGAUGUGCCCAGAUGGGAUUAGCUAGUAGGUGGGGUAACGCCUCACCUCGGCGCCGCUCCCUAGCUGGUCUGAGAGGAUAACAAGCCAACCUGAAACUGAGACACGGUCCAGACUCUUAGGGGAGCAAGCAGGGGGAAAUAUUGAACAAUGGGGGAAAGCCUGAUGCAGCAAUGCGGCGUGUAUGAAGAAGGCCUUCGGGUUGUAAAGUAUUUUCAGCGGGAGGAAGGGAGUAAAGUUAAUACCUUUACUCAUUGACGGUACCCGAAGAAGAAGCACCGGCUAACUCCGUG